Molecule: ribosomal RNA, 519 nt
Filed under: uncultured bacterium
Lineage: Bacteria
Description: bacterial SSU rRNA
Rfam family: Bacterial small subunit ribosomal RNA
Source: RNAcentral
ACGAACGCUGGCGGCGAUGCCUAAUACAUGCAAGUCGAACGGUCUUUCUAUGGAAGCUUGCUUCCACUGAGAAGAUAGUGGCGAACGGGUGAGUAACACGUGGGUAACCUGCCCAUAAGAGGGGGAUAACACCCGGAAACGGGUGCUAAUACCGCAUAGUUUUCUUGAUCGCAUGAUUGAGAAAGGAAAGACGGCCUUUGUGCUGUCGCUUAUGGAUGGACCCGCGGCGUAUUAGUUAGUUGGUGAGGUAAUGGCUCACCAAGACGAUGAUACGUAGCCGACCUGAGAGGGUGAUCGGCCACAUUGGGACUGAGACACGGCCCAAACUCCUACGGGAGGCAGCAGUAGGGAAUCUUCCGCAAUGGACGAAAGUCUGACGGAGCAACGCCGCGUGAGUGAAGAAAAGGGUUUUCGGAUCGUAAAACUCUGUUGUCAGAGAAGAACAAGUUGGAGAGUAACUGCUCCAGCCUUGACGGUAUCUGACCAGAAAGCCACGGCUAACUACGUGCCAGCCGCCGC